This 600-nucleotide ribosomal RNA is filed under the name uncultured bacterium. RNAcentral's name for it is "bacterial SSU rRNA". It matches the Rfam family "Bacterial small subunit ribosomal RNA", at positions 89 to 702 of the family's 1533-position model. The record is from RNAcentral.
UUGAGAGCAGCGUACGGGUGCGGAACACGUGUGCAACUGCUUUAUCUGGGGGAUAGCCUUUCGAAAGGAAGAUUAAUACCCCAUAAUAUGUUGAAUGGCAUCAUUCAACAUUGAAAACUCCGGUGGAUAGAGAUGGGCACGCGCAAGAUUAGAUAGUUGGUGAGGUAACGGCUCACCAAGUCUACGAUCUUUAGGGGGCCUGAGAGGGUGAUCCCCCACACUGGUACUGAGACACGGACCAGACUCCUACGGGAGGCAGCAGUGAGGAAUAUUGGACAAUGGGUGAGAGCCUGAUCCAGCCAUCCCGCGUGAAGGACGACUGCCCUAUGGGUUGUAAACUUCUUUUGUAUAGGGAUAAACCUACCCUCGUGAGGGUAGCUGAAGGUACUAUACGAAUAAGCACCGGCUAACUCCGUGCCAGCAGCCGCGGUAAUACGGAGGGUGCAAGCGUUAUCCGGAUUAUGGGUUUAAAGGGUCCGUAGGCGGAUCUGUAAGUCAGUGGUGAANCUCUCAAAGUUAAUGUGAAAUUGCAUUGAUAUGAGGUCUUGAGUGUGUGAGUAGUGGAAUUAAGUAGUGUAGGGGUGAAAUGGUAGAUUUUUA